This 253-nucleotide ribosomal RNA is filed under the name uncultured bacterium. Its description in RNAcentral is "partial 16S ribosomal RNA". It matches the Rfam family "Bacterial small subunit ribosomal RNA", at positions 524 to 776 of the family's 1533-position model. The record is from RNAcentral.
UACGUAGGCAGCGAGCGUUGUUCGGAGUUACUGGGCGUAAAGGGUGUGUAGGCGGUUCUUUAAGUUUGGUGUGAAAUCUCCCGGCUCAACUGGGAGGGUGCGCCGAAUACUGAGGGACUAGAGUGCGGGAGAGGAAAGUGGAAUUCCUGGUGUAGCGGUGAAAUGCGUAGAUAUCUGGAGGAACACCGGUGGCGAAGGCGGCAUCCUGGACCGGCAUUGACGCUGAGGCGCGAAAGCCAGGGGAGCAAACGGG